CAUCGAAUCUUUGAACGCACCUUGCGCUCCUUGGUAUUCCGAGGAGCAUGCCUGUUUGAGUGUCAUGAAUUUCAUCAACCCCUGGCGUUUCUGCGAACGCUCGGACGGCUUGGACUUAGGGGCUUUGCUGGCUUCGGUCGGCUCUCCUGGAAUGCAUUAGUGGGUCUUUUCGUCUCCCUGAGCGGUGUCUCGGUGUGAUAACUUCUUCACCUUGAGUAAGCCCGUCUCGUUGAAGGGGAGGCGAUGUGAUUCCUGCUUCGAACGGUCCCUUCGUCGGGACACUUUCACUUUGACAAUCUGACCUCAAAUCAGGUAGGAUUACCCGCUGAACUUAA
Molecule: ribosomal RNA, 335 nt
Filed under: uncultured fungus
Lineage: Eukaryota; Fungi
Description: eukaryotic LSU rRNA
Rfam family: 5.8S ribosomal RNA (bases 1-65)
Source: RNAcentral